AGAGCUCAGAUUUGAAAUCUCACCUAGUGUGCGAGUUGUAAAUUGCAGGUUGGAGUCUCGGGUUAGACGUGUGUGCAAGUCCCUUGGAACAGGGUGCCACUGAGGGUGAGAGCCCCGUAUCGUGCAUGUCGACACCUGUGAGGCCCUUCUGACGAGUCGAGUUGUUUGGGAAUGCAGCUCUAAGUGGGUGGUAAAUUCCAUCUAAGGCUAAAUAUUGGCGAGAGACCGAUAGCGAACAAGUACUGUGAAGGAAAGAUGAAAAGCACUUUGAAAAGAGAGUGAAACAGCACGUGAAAUUGUUGAAAGGGAAGGGUAUUGGGCUCGACAUGGGAUUUACGCAUCGUUGCCUCUCGUGGGCGGCGCUCUGGGUUUUUCCUGGGCCAGCAUCGGUUUUCGUUGCAGGAUAAGGACAAUUGGAAUGUGGCUCCUCGGAGUGUUAUAGCCUUUUGUAGAUGCUGCGUAUGGGGACCGAGGGCUGCGGCGGACUCGUUUCGUCUCGGAUGCUGGCACAACGGCGCAAUACCGC
RNAcentral lists this ribosomal RNA (526 nucleotides) under Pichia kluyveri. RNAcentral describes it as "eukaryotic LSU rRNA". It matches the Rfam family "Eukaryotic large subunit ribosomal RNA", at positions 104 to 648 of the family's 3401-position model. The record is from RNAcentral. Lineage: Eukaryota; Fungi; Ascomycota; Pichiomycetes; Pichiales; Pichiaceae.